This 393-nucleotide ribosomal RNA is filed under the name uncultured bacterium. Its description in RNAcentral is "partial 16S ribosomal RNA". It matches the Rfam family "Bacterial small subunit ribosomal RNA", at positions 523 to 918 of the family's 1533-position model. The record is from RNAcentral.
AUACGGAGGAUGCAAGCGUUAUCCGGAUUUAUUGGGUUUAAAGGGUGCGUAGGCGGUUUGCUAAGCGGGAGGUGAAAUGCCGGCGCUCAACGUCGGAAGUGCCCCCCGAACUGGUGGACUUGAAUGACUACGCCGGGGGAGGAAUGUGUAGUGUAGCGGAGAAAUGCUUAGAGAUUACACAGAACACCGAUUGCGAAGGCAUCUCACGAAGGGUUGAUUGACGCUGAGGCACGAAAGCGUGGGGAUCAAACAGGAUUAGAUACCCUGGUAGUCCACGCAGUAAACGAUGAUGGCUAACCGCUGGGCUUAUCAGUUCAGUGGCCAAGCGAAAGCGAUAAGCCAUCCACCUGGGGAGUACGACCGCAAGGUUGAAACUCAAAUGAAUGGACGGGG